ACGGAAGGCAGCAGUGAGGAAUAUUGGUCAAUGGGCGGAAGCCUGAACCAGCCAAGUCGCGUGAAGGAUGAAGGUAUUAUGUAUUGUAAACUUCUUUAGACGUAGAGAAAUAAGGGGAUCGUGAUCCCUGAUGCUAGUAUACGUAGAAUAAGGAUCGGCUAACUCCGUGCCAGCAGCCGCGGUAAUACGGAGGAUCCGAGCGUUAUCCGGAUUUAUUGGGUUUAAAGGGUGCGCAGGCGGUCUUUUAAGUCAGUGGUUAAAGCGUGGAGCUUAACUCCAUCCCGCCAUUGAUACUGGAGGACUUGAUUGCGGUUGAGGUUGGCGGAAUUCGCCGUGUAGCGGUGAAAUGCAUAGAUAUGGCGAAGAACUCCGAUUGCGUAGGCAGCUGACCAAGCCGUAAAUGACGCUCAUGCACGAAAGUGCGGGGAUCGAACAGGAUUAGAUACCCUGGUA
This 453-nucleotide ribosomal RNA is filed under the name uncultured Porphyromonadaceae bacterium. RNAcentral's name for it is "partial 16S ribosomal RNA". It matches the Rfam family "Bacterial small subunit ribosomal RNA", at positions 341 to 792 of the family's 1533-position model. Lineage: Bacteria; Pseudomonadati; Bacteroidota; Bacteroidia; Bacteroidales; Porphyromonadaceae. The record is from RNAcentral.